UACGGAGGGGGGUAGCGUUGUUCGGAAUUACUGGGCGUAAAGCGCACGUAGGCGGACCAGCAAGUUAGGGGUGAAAUCCCUCGGCUUAACUGAGGAACUGCACGGGAUACUGCUUGACUUGAGUUCGGGAGAGGGAAGCGGAAUUCCGGGUGUAGCGGUGAAAUGCGUAGAUAUCCGGAGGAACACCGGUGGCGAAGGCGGCUUCCUGGACCGACACUGACGCUGAGGCGCGAAAGCUAGGGGAGCAAACGGG
Molecule: ribosomal RNA, 253 nt
Filed under: uncultured bacterium
Lineage: Bacteria
Description: partial 16S ribosomal RNA
Rfam family: Bacterial small subunit ribosomal RNA
Source: RNAcentral